GCCGGGUCGGCGUGCCCGCGGCGCUGACCUCGUCCCAGGCACCUGGCGCGUCCUGGCCCUUUCCCCCUACAUGGUCAGCGGAGCUUCCCCACGCGAAAGAGCUCAUGCAAACGCUCGGGGAGACUGCAGCGGCGAAUGGAAUGGAUGAAUGCACAGAGGUGUCAGCUAUUACUGUUUCUACUCAAGAGUGCCUGGCCUGUGAGUGAAUCUCACAGUAACGAUGCAGCAGCUAUGGUGGAAGACCUUUCAGACUUCCCCUGACAUCUUCCCACCUGAAAAGGGCCCCCUCCUUCUGCUUCCAACUCAACGUCUUCUCUUAAAGCCCAGGAGCCCGCUAGGUUCACAAACAAGUGCAAAGUACAGCAAGGAUGGGGAAGAUUUCUGUGGUGGACACUGAGAUGCCCCAUCCUGACCCCCUUCUGUGAAGGGCUUAUCGCCUCAGCUCUGCUGUCCACAGGCAACAUCCAGCUGUCAGUUCUCUCCAGACUUGUCCCAGCUGCAGAGCCACCUCACCCAAAGCCACACCCCAGGCCACACCUCUUCUGGAAGGCCCCGUCUCUGACAACUUAUCAACAAAACAGGAAUAAAGGCUCAACAUCUCAACCUAACUCUGUCUCAGAGUCAGCUUCCUAGGAAACCCAUCCUAUGACAGCUGUUACCAGGAGGCUUUCAAUAAAAGA
Camelus dromedarius (Arabian camel) is the source of this 680-nucleotide long non-coding RNA. RefSeq lists it as uncharacterized. The record is from RefSeq and is a predicted model, not a curated record. The transcript is spliced from 4 exons. NCBI's taxonomy places the organism in Eukaryota, Metazoa, Chordata, Mammalia, Artiodactyla, Camelidae.